CCCUUAGAUGUCCUGGGCCGCACGCGCGCUACACUGAACGGAUCAGCGCGUUUUCCCUUCCCGAGAGGGACGGGUAACCUGCUGAACCCCGUUCGUGGUAGGGAUCGGGGCUUGCAAUUAUUCCCCGUGAACCAGGAAUGCCAGUAAGUGCAAGUCAUAAGCUUGCGUUGAUUACGUCCCUGCCCUUUGUACACACCGCCCGUCGCUACUACCGAUUGAACGUUUUAGUGAGGUACUCGGACUGAGCCUCAGAAGAUUCACGUCUUUUGUGCUGCUCGGGAAGAUUCCCAAACUUGAGCGUUUAGAGGAAGUAAAAGUCGUAACA
This 325-nucleotide ribosomal RNA is filed under the name uncultured eukaryote. RNAcentral's name for it is "partial 18S ribosomal RNA". It matches the Rfam family "Eukaryotic small subunit ribosomal RNA", at positions 1470 to 1796 of the family's 1831-position model. The record is from RNAcentral.